This 550-nucleotide ribosomal RNA is filed under the name uncultured bacterium. RNAcentral describes it as "bacterial SSU rRNA". It matches the Rfam family "Bacterial small subunit ribosomal RNA", at positions 356 to 896 of the family's 1533-position model. The record is from RNAcentral.
GGGGAAUCUUCCGCAAUGGGCGAAAGCCUGACGGAGCAACGCCGCGUGAGUGAAGACGGCCUUCGGGUUGUAAAGCUCUGUUAUACGGGACGAAUAGUCUUAUGGUUAAUACCCAUGAGAAGUGACGGUACCGUAAGAGAAAGCCACGGCUAACUACGUGCCAGCAGCCGCGGUAAUACGUAGGUGGCAAGCGUUGUCCGGAAUUAUUGGGCGUAAAGGGCGCGCAGGCGGCUUCUUAAGUCUGUCUUAAAAGUGCGGGGCUUAACCCCGUGAUGGGAUGGAAACUGGGAAGCUCAGAGUAUCGGAGAGGAAAGCGGAAUUCCUAGUGUAGCGGUGAAAUGCGUAGAUAUUAGGAGGAACACCAGUGGCGAAAGCGGCUUUCUGGACGAAAACUGACGCUGAGGCGCGAAAGCCAGGGGAGCGAACGGGAUUAGAUACCCCGGUAGUCCUGGCCGUAAACGAUGGGUACUAGGUGUAGGAGGUAUCGACCCCUUCUGUGCCGGAGUUAACGCAAUAAGUACCCCGCCUGGGGAGUACGGCCGCAAGGUUG